This 20-nucleotide non-coding RNA is filed under the name Rattus norvegicus (Norway rat). The record is from RNAcentral. Lineage: Eukaryota; Metazoa; Chordata; Mammalia; Rodentia; Muridae.
CAUUUGAUAAGUGUCCUCCA